Molecule: transfer RNA, 85 nt
Filed under: Acidimicrobiia bacterium
Lineage: Bacteria; Bacillati; Actinomycetota; Acidimicrobiia
Description: tRNA-Ser
Rfam family: tRNA
About the family: Transfer RNA (tRNA) molecules are approximately 80 nucleotides in length. Their secondary structure includes four short double-helical elements and three loops (D, anti-codon, and T loops). Further hydrogen bonds mediate the characteristic L-shaped molecular structure. tRNAs have two regions of fundamental functional importance: the anti-codon, which is responsible for specific mRNA codon recognition, and the 3' end, to which the tRNAs corresponding amino acid is attached (by aminoacyl-tRNA synthetases). tRNAs cope with the degeneracy of the genetic code in two manners: having more than one tRNA (with a specific anti-codon) for a particular amino acid; and 'wobble' base-pairing, i.e. permitting non-standard base-pairing at the 3rd anti-codon position.
Source: RNAcentral
GGAGGGGUGCGAGAGCGGCCGAUUCGGCACGCUUGGAAAGCGUGUGUGGGGAAACUCACCGUGGGUUCGAAUCCCACCCUCUCCG